AUUGAACGCUGGCGGCAGGCCUAUCACAUGCACGUCGAGCGGAGCGCCGGACGGGUGAGUAAUGCCUAGGUAUCUGCCCGGUAGUGGGGGAUACCGUCCGGAAACGGGCGCUAAUACCGCAUAAUUUCAGAUGAGCCUAGGUCGACUUAGCUAGUUGGUGAAGUAAAGGCCUACCAGGGCGACGAUCCGUAACUGCUCUGAGAGGAUGAUAAGUCACACUGGAACUGAGACACGGUCCAGACUCCUACGGGAGGCAGCAGUGGGGAAUAUUGGACAAUGGGCGAAAGCCUGAUCCAGCCAUGCCGCGUGUGGGAAGAAGGGCUUCGGAUUGUAAAGCACUUUAAGUUGGAAGGCGGUACCAACAGAAGAAGCACCGGCUAACUUCGUGCCAGCAGCCGCGGUAAUUC
Molecule: ribosomal RNA, 407 nt
Filed under: uncultured bacterium
Lineage: Bacteria
Description: partial 16S ribosomal RNA
Rfam family: Bacterial small subunit ribosomal RNA
Source: RNAcentral